GGCGGUAUCGACUAGGGGUUUAGGUCGCCACCCUCUCAAGGUGGAAACACGGGUUCGAAUCCCGUUACCGCUACCA
Molecule: transfer RNA, 76 nt
Filed under: Acidobacteria bacterium 13_1_20CM_3_58_11
Lineage: Bacteria; Pseudomonadati; Acidobacteriota
Also listed under: 2 other names
Description: tRNA-Glu
Rfam family: tRNA
About the family: Transfer RNA (tRNA) molecules are approximately 80 nucleotides in length. Their secondary structure includes four short double-helical elements and three loops (D, anti-codon, and T loops). Further hydrogen bonds mediate the characteristic L-shaped molecular structure. tRNAs have two regions of fundamental functional importance: the anti-codon, which is responsible for specific mRNA codon recognition, and the 3' end, to which the tRNAs corresponding amino acid is attached (by aminoacyl-tRNA synthetases). tRNAs cope with the degeneracy of the genetic code in two manners: having more than one tRNA (with a specific anti-codon) for a particular amino acid; and 'wobble' base-pairing, i.e. permitting non-standard base-pairing at the 3rd anti-codon position.
Source: RNAcentral